AGCUCCAAUAGCGUAUAUUAAAGUUGUUGCGGUUGAAAAGCUCGUAGUUGGCUUUCUGUCAGGGCAAACCGGUCCGCCCUCCGGGUGAGUAUCUGGCUUGGCCUUGGCAUCAUCUUGGCGGGCGUUUCUGCACUUCAUUGUGUGGUGCGCUGGCCAGGGCGUUUACUUUGAGGAAAUUAGAGUGUUUCACGCAGGCGCACGCCUUGAAUACAUUAGCAUGGAAUAAUACAUCAGGGCUGCAGCUCUAUUUCGUUGGUUUUUGGAGCUGUGGCAAUAGUCAACAGGGAUAGUUGGGGGCAUUCGUAUUUAACUGUCAGAGGUGAAAUUCUUGGAUUUGUUAAAGACGGACCACUGCGAAAGCAUUUGCCAAGGAUGUUUUCA
This 381-nucleotide ribosomal RNA is filed under the name uncultured eukaryote. RNAcentral describes it as "SSU rRNA". It matches the Rfam family "Eukaryotic small subunit ribosomal RNA", at positions 587 to 972 of the family's 1831-position model. The record is from RNAcentral.